UACGGGGGGGGCAAGCGUUGUUCGGAAUUACUGGGCGUAAAGGGCUCGUAGGCGGCCAACUAAGUCAGACGUGAAAUCCCUCGGCUUAACCGGGGAACUGCGUCUGAUACUGGAUGGCUUGAGUUUGGGAGAGGGAUGCGGGAUUCCAGGUGUAGCGGUGAAAUGCGUAGAUAUCUGGAGGAACACCGGUGGCGAAGGCGGCAUCCUGGACCAACACUGACGCUGAGUGAGCGAAAGCCAGGGGAGCAAACGGG
Molecule: ribosomal RNA, 254 nt
Filed under: uncultured bacterium
Lineage: Bacteria
Description: partial 16S ribosomal RNA
Rfam family: Bacterial small subunit ribosomal RNA
Source: RNAcentral